Molecule: non-coding RNA, 1396 nt
Filed under: Pan troglodytes (chimpanzee)
Lineage: Eukaryota; Metazoa; Chordata; Mammalia; Primates; Hominidae
Source: RNAcentral
GGUCGCUUCUCGCAGGCGGCGCGCUUGCUGAGUGAUAGUGAGGCGGCUCCGCGCAGGCGCAGCCGGGCGGGCGAGGAGCGGGGAAGCUGACUCAGGGCUGCGGCCGGGGUCCUGCGGGGUAGGAGCGCGAGGCCGGCCUGAGGGAGGAGGCCUAGCGACCCAUCCGGCGCCUCCCGCCCCGGGCACCCGCCCAUGGCCGCGCAUCCUGCGGGCCCCAGGAGGCCUCCAUCUCAAAACAACGUGUUUUUAGGCACAUGACAGCCUUCUUGCAAUCAAGAAACUACGUGUGGCCAGGAUCCCAUCCACUAUCACAGUUUCAGCUUCCCCCAAACUGGAAUAUGUCUUUGCAGAUUCCCAUCCUUAUUAAAGGGCAAAGACUUCUCAUACACCUAGGAUGGAUCAUAUAUUCUUGGCGGGACUGCAGAGAAGGUGCCGUGUCCUGGGUCCUCAUGUCGGGGCACAGGCUUCCAGCCAAUUCUACCUGGGUUAUGUUUAUCUCAAUUCCCUGGUGGUAUUGGUGUCUGCUGGGUUUUGCCAGAAUGAAGACACCGUGUUUUCAUUUGUCAGUUGAUUCGUAUUUUCCAGGAAGACAUUCUGAGAUUACAGCAUUGUCUUAGUCAAGGUGCUGCAGAGGGACAGAACUAAUAGGAUAUAUGUACAUAUGAAAGAAAGUUUAUGAAGAACUGGCUCACACCAUCACAAGGCAAAGUCUCAUGACAGGCCGUCUGCAAGCUGAGGAGUGAGGAAGCCAGCAGUGGCUCAGCCGGAGUCCAACAGCCUCAAACGGAAUCCGACAGUUCAGGCUUCAGUCUGUGGCCAAAUGCCCAGAGACCCCGGAAAGCUACUGGUGUAAGUCCCAGAGUCCAAAGGCCAAAGAACCUGGAGUGUGAUGGCCAAGGGCAGGAGGAAUGGACAGAAGCAUCCAGCAUGGGGUAAAGACGAAAGCCAGAAGACUCAGCAAGCUAGCUUACCUACCUUCUUCUACCUGCCUUGUUCUAGCCGCGCUGGCAGCCGGUUGGAGGGUGCCCACCCCCACUGAGGGUGGAUCUUCCUCUCCUAGUCCACUGACUCAAAUUUCAGUCUCUCUGGGAGCACCCUCACACCAGAAACAAUACCAGCCAUCUAGCCACCCUUCAGUUCACCAUCACAACCAUUGUCUUAUUCAUGAAACCUCUGCAGACCCACCUGAACCUCCGUCGGUGACUUCUACCUCAAGCCCUCUGAUUGUUGCCCAGUGGUGCUUUUUAAAAUAAUUUCCAUAGUUUCUUCUACACCUUUAGUUGGUAUUCUACUGUAAAGGAGAGAUUUUCUUACUCAUUUAUUUGUUAGUUUAUAGUCACCACCAUAUGGAUGCAGAGUUCUGUCUCAUUCACUGGGGAGUAUUCUACUGCAGUCA